AUGCUUGACGAGACCACCUCAGCAGCUCCAAGACCUAAAUUCAUCAGUAUGCACAACAUUGUGCAUAUUGACGAAAAGUGGUUCUAUAUGACAAAAAUGAACAGAUGCUACUAUCUCCUCCCCGAGGAAGAUGACCCGGUCAGAACUGUUCGAAACAAAAACUGUAUUGAGAAAGUGAUGUUUCUGACCGCUGUCGUUCGACCUAGAUAUGACGCUGAAGGCAAUAUGACAUUCUCAGGUAAAAUUGGUGUCUGGCCCUUUGUGCAAGAGAUUCCUGCUGCUAGAAGAAGUGAGUAUAGAGCAAGAGGGACCAUUGAAAUCAAGUCCGUCAAUGUGAACCGAUGGGUAAUGAGGAGGUAUAUGAUAGAAAAAGUGGUUCCUGGAAUAAAGGAAGUCUGGCCCGCAGAUGAUACUAAUCCAAUAUUGAUCCAGCAAGAUAAUGCAGGAACGCACAUUCUUCCUGAUGAUGCAGAGUUUGCAGAAGCUGUGGCUACAACUGGUCUGGACAUUAAAAUAAUGAACCAGCCUCCAAAUUCUCCUGAUCUAAACGCACUUGAUCUUGGAUAUUUCAGAUCCCUUGAGUCUUUGACCGACUGUAGAGCACCCACAACUAUCAAAGAACUGAUUCAAGGUGUGCAGGAAGAAUUUGAUGAGUAUGAUGCCAGAAAACUCAACAGAAUAUUUCUAACACUUCAGACCGUCAUGGUAGAAGUGAUGAACCAUGGAGGGGAAAAUUCAUACAAAAUUCCACACUUGCGCAAGGAUAGAUUGGAAAGGCAAGGAAUCCUACCACCUAGGAUUCACUUUCCCCGUGAAGUUUAUGAACAUGCCAUGGAUAUUCUAGAACAAGAUAUCAUGGAGUAG
RNAcentral lists this ribosomal RNA (864 nucleotides) under Triticum aestivum (bread wheat). RNAcentral's name for it is "partial small subunit ribosomal RNA". Lineage: Eukaryota; Viridiplantae; Streptophyta; Magnoliopsida; Poales; Poaceae. The record is from RNAcentral.